UAGUUGAGCUAAAAUACUAUCGGUAGCAAAUGGACUCCGUUGUCACCCAUUUGUUUUCGAUAAUGGAGCCUCAAAAUCAACGAUCGGCACCAUUGAACAUGAUCAAUACCACUUGAAGUGUUUAGAAAUCAAAUUUCAUACAUUUUCGAUAUUAUUCUCUUAUCCAUCGAGUGGACAAAAAAAUGAACAGCUGAAAAUGAAUAUUCUUUAAAAAUAAUGAUAGGAGUCUUGUAAUCAAGAUCAAGAGUAUAAAUCUUAUUUUAAAUAGUUUAAAGAAUUUUCUAACAAAAAUUCAAUUGAUUUGGAUAUCUUUACGCCGUUAAACGAAAAAACGCCUCAUAUCGACCAUUAAAAUUACAAAUUUUAAAACCCUUUGAUCUUUAGACAAAUGAUGUCAAAAAGAUUUGAAAUUUGAUUUCUAAACACUUCAAGUGGUAUAGAUCAUGUUCAACGGUGCCAAUCGUCGAUUUGGAGGCUCUAUCAUCAAAAACAAAUGGGUGGCAACGAAGCCCAUUUGUUAUUAAUAGUAUUCUAGCUCAACUCUCUCUCUCUCUCUCUCUCUCUCUCUAUAUAUAGAGAGAGAGAGAGUACGUCUCCUGUGCUUUCGAAAGUACAGAGGCUUCCAUACUUAUAAAUUAUUUUUGAUGAUGGGACGUUCGAUUCGAUGAUCAGCUCCCUUAAACAUGAUCUACACUAUUAGAACUAUUUAGAAACCAAAUUUCAUAAUUUUUUCACAUCAUUUAUCAAGUGAUCAAAUGGGUCAAAAAUGACUAAUUUAAUGGCCGAUGUGGCAUGUUUGUAAGUUCAACGAUGUAGAAGAUUCUAAAUUACAUAGAACUUAAUAAAAAAAUUCUACUUAACAGCGAGAGCGAGAACAAUGCUUUCGAUUUUUAUUUUCAGUCGUUAAUUUUGAGGCUAGUCCUUUACUAGACAAAUGAAGUCAAAAAAUUAUGAAAUUUAGUUUCUAAAUAAUUCUAAUAGUGUAUAUCAUGUCUAACGGAGCCGAUCGUCAAAUUAAAUACUCCAUCAUCAAAAAGAACAUAUAAUCACGAAGACCUACGUACUUUUGAAAUCGUAGGAACCUAACUAUAUAUGCAUAGAGAGAGAGAGAGAGAGAGAGUCCGACUGAUAUACUAUCGGUAGCACGGAGGUUUCCGUACAACCAAGUUAUUUUUAAUGAUACAACUUUCCAAUUGACGUUCUGCUUCGUUAAACUUGAUCUAUACUAUUCAAAGUAUUUGAAAAUUAAAUUUCAUAAUUUUUCGAUAUUAUUUAUCUACCAAACGAGUAGUCUAAAAAUGAACGGCUGAAAACAAAAAUAUUAUAAAAAAUAAUGAUAAAAGACUUGAAUUUAAGAUCAGAGGUACUAAUCUUACUCUAAGUAGUAAAAAAAAAUUUCUAUAAAAAUUUCAUCAGAUUUAAAUUAUUUUACGCCAUUAAAUUUAUAAACGGACAACAUCAGUCAUUAAAAUUGUUAAUUUUGAGACCUUUUGAUCACUAGCCAAAUAUUAUCGAAAAAUUAUGAAAUUUAGUUUCAAAUACUUUCAAUAGUGUAGAUCAAGUUUAACGGAGCCGAUCGUCGAUUUGAAAAUCACAUUAUUAAAAAAAACUUGAUAGCACGGAGGCUUUCGUGCUACCGAUAGUAUAUCA
RNAcentral lists this long non-coding RNA (1650 nucleotides) under Ananas comosus (pineapple). RNAcentral describes it as "long non-coding RNA (ACOM_LNC019228)". Lineage: Eukaryota; Viridiplantae; Streptophyta; Magnoliopsida; Poales; Bromeliaceae. The record is from RNAcentral.